AGGAUCUCUUCGGAGUGAACUUAAGUGGAUUAGUGGCGGACGGGCGAGUAACGCGUGAGUAACCUGCCUUAGAGAAGGGGAUAGCCUUUGGAAACGAAGAAUAAUACCCUAUGAUAUGAUAACCUCGCAUGGGGCUAUCAUCAAAGAUUUAUCGCUCUAAGAUGGACUUGCGUCUGAUUAGUUAGUUGGUGGGGUAACGGCCCACCAAGACAGCGAUCAGUAGCCGGCUUGAGAGAGUGUACGGCCACAUUGGGACUGAGACACGGCCCAGACUCCUACGGGAGGCAGCAGUGGGGAAUUUUGCACAAUGGGGGAAACCCUGAUGCAGCGACGCCGCGUGAUUUAGAAGGCCUUCGGGUUGUAAAAAUCUUUUCUAUGGGAAGAAAAUGACAGUACCAUAGGAAUAAGGACCGGCUAAUUACGUGCCAGCAGCCGCGGUAAUACGUAAGGUCCGAGCGUUGUCCGGAAUCAUUGGGCGUAAAGGGUACGUAGGCGGGUAAGCAAGUUAGAAGUGAAAUCCUAUAGCUCAACUAUAGUAAGCUUUUAAAACUGCUCAUCUUGAGGUAUGGAAGGGAAAGUGGAAUUCCUAGUGUAGCGGUGAAAUGCGCAGAUAUUAGGAGGAAUACCGGUGGCGAAGGCGACUUUCUGGCCAUAACCUGACGCUGAGGUACGAAAGCGUGGGUAGCAAACAGGAUUAGAUACCCUGGUAGUCCACGCCGUAAACGAUGAGUGUUAGGUGUCUGGAGUAAAUCUGGGUGCCGCAGCUAACGCAUUAAACACUCCGCCUGGGGAGUACGCGCGCAAGCGUG
This 809-nucleotide ribosomal RNA is filed under the name uncultured Clostridia bacterium. Its description in RNAcentral is "bacterial SSU rRNA". It matches the Rfam family "Bacterial small subunit ribosomal RNA", at positions 70 to 896 of the family's 1533-position model. The record is from RNAcentral. Lineage: Bacteria; Bacillati; Bacillota; Clostridia.